GGACUACUGGGGUUUCUAAUCCUAUUUGCUCCCCACGCUUUCGUGCCUCAACGUCAGGGCCAGAAUAGUUAACUGCCUUCGCCUUAUUGGUGUUCUUCCCGAUAUCUACACAUUUUACCGCUCCACCGGGAGUUCCGUUAACCUCUCCUGUCCUCUAGCAAAACAGUAUUAAUGGCUUCCACGAGGUUGAGCCCCGAUUUUCCACCACUAACUUAUUCUGCCGCCUACGCACCCUUUACGCCCAAUAAUUCCGGAUAACGUUCGCCACCUACGUCUUACCGCGGCUGCUGGCAC
RNAcentral lists this ribosomal RNA (294 nucleotides) under uncultured bacterium. Its description in RNAcentral is "partial 16S ribosomal RNA". The record is from RNAcentral.